RNAcentral lists this non-coding RNA (172 nucleotides) under Mesorhizobium loti. The record is from RNAcentral. Lineage: Bacteria; Pseudomonadati; Pseudomonadota; Alphaproteobacteria; Hyphomicrobiales; Phyllobacteriaceae.
AUUACCGCGAGGUGGUGUGUCUGAAGGAAGCGUGGAGCAAAACCGCGACCUGACGAACAGAAACCGGAUAUGAGGCAUCCCUGGCCGGACGAGCGGGCAACGUGUCGCGAAGUCCAUAUCCAUCAAAGGGCAGGGCUGUAGAUCCGGCAGGUGCGCGGGGAAGGCGAUUGAA